This 1314-nucleotide ribosomal RNA is filed under the name uncultured Alphaproteobacteria bacterium. RNAcentral describes it as "uncultured alpha proteobacterium 16S ribosomal RNA". It matches the Rfam family "Bacterial small subunit ribosomal RNA", at positions 33 to 1394 of the family's 1533-position model. The record is from RNAcentral. Lineage: Bacteria; Pseudomonadati; Pseudomonadota; Alphaproteobacteria.
ACGCUGGCGGCACGCCUAACACAUGCAAGUCGAACGAAGUAGCAAUACUUAGUGGCAGACGGGUGAGUAACAUGUAGGUAUCUGCCCUUUGGCCUGGAAUAACACGAGGAAACUUGUGCUAAUACCGGAUAAGUCUUUACGGAGAAAGCUUUAUGCACCAUUGGAUGAGCCCGCACUUGAUUAGUUUGUUGGUAGGGUAAUGGCCUACCAAGACUAUGAUCAAUAGCUGAUUUGAGAGGAUGAUCAGCCACAUUGGGACUGAGACACGGCCCAAACUCCUACGGGAGGCAGCAGUGGGGAAUCUUGCACAAUGGAGGAAACUCUGAUGCAGCGAUGCCGCGUGAGUGAAGAAGGCCUUUGGGUUGUAAAGCUCUUUCGUCGGGGAAGAAAAUGACUGUACCCGAAUAAGAAGGUCCGGCUAACUUCGUGCCAGCAGCCGCGGUAAUACGAAGGGACCUAGCGUAGUUCGGAAUUACUGGGCUUAAAGAGUUCGUAGGUGGUUGAAAAAGUUGGUGGUGAAAUCCCAGAGCUUAACUCUGGAACUGCCAUCAAAACUUUUCAGCUAGAGUAUGAUAGAGGAAAGCAGAAUUUCUAGUGUAGAGGUGAAAUUCGUAGAUAUUAGAAAGAAUACCAAUUGCGAAGGCAGCUUUCUGGAUCAUUACUGACACUGAGGAACGAAAGCAUGGGUAGCGAAGAGGAUUAGAUACCCUCGUAGUCCAUGCCGUAAACGAUGUGUGUUAGACGUUGGAAAUUUAUUUUCAGUGUCGCAGGGAAACCGAUAAACACACCGCCUGGGGAGUACGACCGCAAGGUUAAAACUCAAAUGAAUUGACGGGGACCCGCACAAGUAGUGGAGCAUGUGGUUUAAUUCGAAGAUACGCGCAGAACCUUACCAACACUUGACAUGUUCGUCGCGACUCUAAGAGAUUAGAGUUUUCGGUUCGGCCGGACGAAACACAGGUGCUGCAUGGCUGUCGUCAGCUCGUGUCGUGAGAUGUUGGGUUAAGUCCCGCAACGAGCGCAACCCUCACUUUUAGUUGCCAUCAUUAAGUUGGGCACUCUGAAAGAACUGCCAGUGAUAAGCUGGAGGAAGGUGGGGAUGACGUCAAGUCCUCAUGGCCCUUACGUGUUGGGCUACACACGUGCUACAAUGGCAUCUACAACAGGAAGCAAAACGGCAACGUUAAGCAAAUCCCGAAAAGAUGCCUCAGUUCGGAUUGCACUCUGCAACUCGAGUGCAUGAAGCUGGAAUUACUAGUAAUCGUGGAUCAGCGUGCCACGGUGAAUGCGUUCCCGGGUCUUGUACACACCGCC